GAGUCUGAAUAUCAGCUGUGCUUCCUUCUCUUUCCUGUGGCCACUGUGGAUCCCCAAUGGCACCAAUGUUAGAAGAAACUCCAAGAGCUGACAAACGGUUGGAGAAGAAGGGGCAGCUGCCAGCCUCCCCAGGCUGUACCUGCAGCGUCCUUGACUCUUACACACACCCUUGCUGCCUUCCGCACCCUCAGGUGCGGCUCUAAUUUAGGAACAGAUGGUGGGGCCUGGAUUGAAGAACCUUUGGACAAAGUGAGCCCUGACUUCUGACCCUCUGACUCAGGGAGGGUUUUCCUGCUCUGGAUUCUGAGGAAGCCUGUCACCCCCGACUCCUCCUCCUGGGGGGCACCAUCUAACGAAGUCCUCCUGCUGGUCUUACUGGUAGCCCAGAACCUGGAGAGAAGUCCCCCUGCCACUGUCCAGAUAUGCCACAGAUUCCAACGCUUCAGAGAGAUGUUCUACCAGGAGGCAGACUUCUCCAACCAGACAGCAAAGUGUGGCCUCGGGGAGCACCACAGUGAG
This is a long non-coding RNA of Trichechus manatus latirostris (Florida manatee), 519 nucleotides long. RefSeq lists it as uncharacterized. The transcript is spliced from 4 exons. Lineage: Eukaryota; Metazoa; Chordata; Mammalia; Sirenia; Trichechidae. The record is from RefSeq and is a predicted model, not a curated record.